AUCAUAUUAAGAUUAAAUUUUAUAUUACGUGUUUAUUUAAACAUUUAUAAGUUUAGUAGGGGCGACCGAAAUCUUAUUUAUAAUAAUCUAUAAGUACUGAAAAGGAAAUAAUAUUGAAUUAAAAAAAAGCAGUUUUUAAUAAUGUACCUUUUGCAUCAUGGUUUAGCUAGAGAAUGCUUUUAAUAAAGUUUCUCGAAACUCGAUGAGCUAUUUUAAGUUCUAUGUUAGCAGUAGUAAGUAAAUGUGGCAAAAUUUUUUCAAAAACUUAAAAUAGAAAUUAGAUUUUAUUCGUAUCGAGUGAUAGCUAGUUUCCUUAUAAAAGCAUAGAAGUGCGUAAAUUAAUUAUGUUUAGCUCAUAGUUUACUGUGAUUUAAUACAUUAAUUUGUGAGACUCUUAAGGAUAAGCUUUAGAGUCAAUAAUAUUAAGUUGUAUUUAUUACGACUUGAAAUUUAGGCUUGAAAUUAGCCAUAAUUUAAAGUUUGUUAUAAAUUAUUAAGAAAAUUAAAUAAAAUAUAUUUACUUGUCUUUAUAAGGAAAAUUUUUAAAAUUCAUAAAAAAUAUUUUCAUGCUAAAAUGAGUAUUACACAAAAUUAUAUAUUAAUAAGAUUAAAAUUAAAACAUAAAAAUUUUAUUAUAAAUAAAUUUUAAGAAGGAACUCGGCAAAACUUUUGCUCUGCCUGUUUAUCAAAAACAUGGCUCUUUGAGAUUUAUAUAUAAAGAGUCGGGCCUGCCCAGUGAUGUAUUUUUAACGGCCGCGGUACUCUGACCGUGCGAAGGUAGCAUAAUCAUUUGCCCUAUAAUUGAGGGCUAGUAUGAAUGGUUUGACAUGAGCAUAACAGGGCUAGUAUGAAUGGUUUGACAUGAGCAUAACUGUCUCCUUAAAAUUUUAUAAAAUUUGGUUUUUAGGUGAAGAAACCUAAAUUAAAUUGAAAGACAAGAAGACCCUAUCGAGCUUUAGAAUAAUUAAUUAAAAAAUAUAAAUAAAACAAUUAAUUUUAAUUAAAAACUUUGGUUGGGGCGACUGAGGAACAUAUAAAGCUUCCUUAAUUAAACAAUGCUGAUAAGCAAUGAUCCAGGAAAUCUGAUUAAAAAAAUUAGUUACCGUAGGGAUAACAGCAUAAUCUUUUUUGAGAGCUCUUAUCGAAAAAAAGGUUUGUGACCUCGAUGUUGGACUAGGAUAUCCUAAAGAUGUAGAAGUCUUUAAUGGUUGCUCUGUUCGAGCAUAAAAAUCCUACAUGAUCUGAGUUCAGACCGGCGUGAGCCAGGUCAGUUUCUAUCUUCAAUUAAAUAUUUUAAAUUUAGUACGAAAGGACCAAUUUAAGGCAAUAAUUGUAUAUUAAGACUAAUUAUAAUGUACACUUAAGUUUUUACAAU
This 1375-nucleotide ribosomal RNA is filed under the name Oncomelania hupensis hupensis. RNAcentral describes it as "l-rRNA". The stretch from base 631 to 1375 matches the Rfam family "Archaeal large subunit ribosomal RNA", at positions 1423 to 2823 of the family's 2987-position model. The record is from RNAcentral. Lineage: Eukaryota; Metazoa; Mollusca; Gastropoda; Littorinimorpha; Pomatiopsidae.